GACGAACGCUGGCGGCGUGCUUAACACAUGCAAGUCGAACGGAAAGGCCCUGCUUUUGUGGGGUGCUCGAGUGGCGAACGGGUGAGUAACACGCGAGUAACCUGCCCUUGACUUUGGGAUAACUUCAGGAAACUGGGGCUAAUACCGGAUAUGAGCUCCUGCUGCAUGGUGGGGGUUGGAAAGUUUCGGCGGUUGGGGAUGGACUCGCGGCUUAUCAGCUUGUUGGUGGGGUAGUGGCUUACCAAGGCUUUGACGGGUAGCCGGCCUGAGAGGGUGACCGGCCACAUUGGGACUGAGAUACGGACCAGAAUCCUACGGGAGGCAGCAGUGGGGAAUAUUGCACAAUGGGCGGAAGCCUGAUGCAGCAACGCCGCGUGCGGGAUGACGGCCUUCGGGUUGUAAACCGCUUUCGCCUGUGACGAAGCGUGAGUGACGGUAAUGGGUAAAGAAGCACCGGCUAACUACGUG
This 468-nucleotide ribosomal RNA is filed under the name uncultured bacterium. RNAcentral's name for it is "partial 16S ribosomal RNA". It matches the Rfam family "Bacterial small subunit ribosomal RNA", at positions 28 to 507 of the family's 1533-position model. The record is from RNAcentral.